GAUGAACGCUAGCGGGAGGCCUAACACAUGCGAGCCGAGCGGUAGAGUCUCUUCGGAGCCUUGAGAGCGGCGCACGGGUGCGGAACACGUGUGCAACCUGCCUUUAUCUGGGGGAUAGCCUUUCGAAAGGAAGAUUAAUACCCCAUAAUAUGCUGGAUGGCAUCAUCUGGUAUUGAAAACUCCGGUGGAUAGAGAUGGGCACGCGCAAGAUUAGAUAGUUGGUGAGGUAACGGCUCACCAAGUCAGCGAUCUUUAGGGGGCCUGAGAGGGUGAUCCCCCACACUGGUACUGAGACACGGACCAGACUCCUACGGGAGGCAGCAGUGAGGAAUAUUGGACAAUGGGUGAGAGCCUGAUCCAGCCAUCCCGCGUGAAGGACGACGGCCCUAUGGGUUGUAAACUUCUUUUGUAUAGGGAUAAACCUAGAUACGUGUAUCUAGCUGAAGGUACUAUACGAAUAAGCACCGGCUAACUCCGUG
RNAcentral lists this ribosomal RNA (479 nucleotides) under uncultured bacterium. Its description in RNAcentral is "partial 16S ribosomal RNA". It matches the Rfam family "Bacterial small subunit ribosomal RNA", at positions 28 to 507 of the family's 1533-position model. The record is from RNAcentral.